CCUUCCUACAGUUACUAUAAGGAAUUAACCGAAUACUGAGAACAACUUUUCCUAUUGUUACAGCAAUGAGAUGGUGGGGUAUAUUAUGUAUGUUGACUAUGCUGGCCUUUUUAUUAUUUAUAGAAGGUACAACUGCAGCAAUAUGUAAUAUAGAAGCUAUACGGGGACCCCAAUACCAGACGUGUCUCCUAGGUUGUUGUAAAACAUCUACAAACAAAACCAAAUGCUGUUCAAAACCGUUUGAGUCUGCAAAAGACGAAUCAGGAUCCCUCAUAGGUGCAUAUGUGUUCGCUGGCAUAGUUGUUACCGUGUUUGUAAUUGGAACUGCAUACUUUUUGUACUACAGCUAUUGUAAAAAGAAAUCUGAUCCUCAAGGGAAACAAACUUCGCCAGAUAAAACUAGCACCCCGGAAAAAAAAUCAGAAUCAGAUUCUGAAAACGAAUAUGAGUGUGAAGGGGAACGUCGCUGGUUUAAAAGAAUGCAAAACCGGAAGGUAAAUCCAAUACAAAACCAGACGGUAAAUCCAAGGCACUCCCAAGGACAGGUUCAAGACCCGGUGAAUUACGUGUCCAAAAAAGAAAUGUCAGAAGAACCACAUUUAUAUCCGCCGCCUGCAUAUGCGGCUUUAUAUAAUUCAACAACAGACACCCCAGUUCUGGAAGAUUGCCCACGUGUAGCGACGCCAAAUAAAACAAUACGUUUUGAACUCGAAGAAGACUGAUCAACUGUGGUUUUUUUUCAUUGCUAUUUUG
Molecule: long non-coding RNA, 753 nt
Organism: Patella vulgata (common limpet)
Lineage: Eukaryota; Metazoa; Mollusca; Gastropoda; Patellidae
Exons: 6
Source: RefSeq, a predicted model, not a curated record